This 497-nucleotide ribosomal RNA is filed under the name uncultured bacterium. RNAcentral describes it as "partial 16S ribosomal RNA". It matches the Rfam family "Bacterial small subunit ribosomal RNA", at positions 28 to 507 of the family's 1533-position model. The record is from RNAcentral.
GAUGAACGCUGGCGGCGUGCCUAAUACAUGCAAGUCGAGCGAACAGACGAGGAGCUUGCUCCUCUGACGUUAGCGGCGGACGGGUGAGUAACACGUGGAUAACCUACCUAUAAGACUGGGAUAACUUCGGGAAACCGGAGCUAAUACCGGAUAAUAUAUUGAACCGCAUGGUUCAAUAGUGAAAGACGGUUUUGCUGUCACUUAUAGAUGGAUCCGCGCCGCAUUAGCUAGUUGGUAAGGUAACGGCUUACCAAGGCAACGAUGCGUAGCCGACCUGAGAGGGUGAUCGGCCACACUGGAACUGAGACACGGUCCAGACUCCUACGGGAGGCAGCAGUAGGGAAUCUUCCGCAAUGAGCGAUAGCCUGACGGAGCAACGCCGCGUGAGUGAUGAAGGUCUUCGGAUCGUAAAACUCUGUUAUUAGGGAAGAACAAAUGUGUAAGUAACUAUGCACGUCUUGACGGUACCUAAUCAGAAAGCCACGGCUAACUACGUG